Molecule: ribosomal RNA, 433 nt
Filed under: uncultured bacterium
Lineage: Bacteria
Description: partial 16S ribosomal RNA
Rfam family: Bacterial small subunit ribosomal RNA
Source: RNAcentral
AACGAACGCUGGCGGCAUGCCUAACACAUGCAAGUCGAACGAGACCUUCGGGUCUAGUGGCGCACGGGUGCGUAACGCGUGGGAACCUGCCUUUAGGUUCGGAAUAACUCAGAGAAAUUUGAGCUAAUACCGGAUGAUGUCUUCGGACCAAAGAUUUAUCGCCUUUAGAUGGGCCCGCGUUGGAUUAGCUAGUUGGUGGGGUAAAGGCCUACCAAGGCGACGAUCCAUAGCUGGUCUGAGAGGAUGAUCAGCCACACUGGGACUGAGACACGGCCCAGACUCCUACGGGAGGCAGCAGUGGGGAAUAUUGGACAAUGGGCGAAAGCCUGAUCCAGCAAUGCCGCGUGAGUGAUGAAGGCCUUAGGGUUGUAAAGCUCUUUUACCCGAGAUGAUAAUGACAGUAUCGGGAGAAUAAGCUCCGGCUAACUCCAUG